GAUGAACGCUGGCGGCGUGCCUAAUACAUGCAAGUCGAGCGAACAGACGAGGAGCUUGCUCCUCUGACGUUAGCGGCGGACGGGUGAGUAACACGUGGAUAACCUACCUAUAAGACUGGGAUAACUUCGGGAAACCGGAGCUAAUACCGGAUAAUAUAUUGAACCGCAUGGUUCAAUAGUGAAAGACGGUUUUGCUGUCACUUAUAGAUGGAUCCGCGCCGCAUUAGCUAGUUGGUAAGGUAACGGCUUACCAAGGCAACGAUGCGUAGCCGACCUGAGAGGGUGAUCGGCCACACUGGAACUGAGACACGGUCCAGACUCCUGCGGGAGGCAGCAGUAGGGAAUCUUACGCAAAGGGCGAGAGCCUGACGGAGCAACGCCGCGUGAGUGAUGAAGGUCUUCGGAUCGUAAAACUCUGUUAUUAGGGAAGAACAAAUGUGUAAGUAACUAUGCACGUCUUGACGGUACCUAAUCAGAAAGCCACGGCUAACUACGUG
This 497-nucleotide ribosomal RNA is filed under the name uncultured bacterium. RNAcentral describes it as "partial 16S ribosomal RNA". It matches the Rfam family "Bacterial small subunit ribosomal RNA", at positions 28 to 507 of the family's 1533-position model. The record is from RNAcentral.